Small nuclear RNA from Suncus etruscus (white-toothed pygmy shrew), 112 nucleotides. The record is from RefSeq and is a predicted model, not a curated record. Lineage: Eukaryota; Metazoa; Chordata; Mammalia; Eulipotyphla; Soricidae.
GUGCCUGCUUCCGCAGCACAUAUACUGAAAUUGGAAUGAUACAGAGAAGAUUAGCAUGGCCCCUGAUCAAGGAUUGUAUUUCCCUUCUAUUUUUAAGAUAGAACAAUAUUCU